RNAcentral lists this ribosomal RNA (373 nucleotides) under Novocrania sp. D1476. Its description in RNAcentral is "partial 16S ribosomal RNA". It matches the Rfam family "Bacterial large subunit ribosomal RNA", at positions 2006 to 2583 of the family's 2925-position model. Lineage: Eukaryota; Metazoa; Brachiopoda; Craniata; Craniida; Craniidae. The record is from RNAcentral.
GUGGGAGGAGCUGUCUUCUGGGCACAUAUAGAACUUAUCUUGGAGGUGAACAGACCUUUUUUUGGCUUCGGGACGGGUAGACCCCGAUGAGCUUGAUAGCGGUGUGUAGUUUUGCGUCAAGGACAAUUAACUUGGCGCUUUAUUGCGCCUUCUUCGGUUGGGAAAACCGUUGGGAUGAGUGAAAUCCUGUUUUUGUUGGUUUAGAUAUAUUUGUAAAGACCUCUGUAGAGGGAAAUUUGAAAGAGAAAAGUUACCGCGGGGAUAACAGCAUUGUCUCCUCAGAGAGAAUACAUUGAAGAGGGGGUUUAUGACCUCGAUUUUGGAUCAUUUGAUUCUGGGUGAUAUAAGGGGUCACUUUGUGAGGGACUGUUCG